GACGGAGGGUGCGAGCGUUAUCCGGAAUUACUGGGUUUAAAGGGUGCGUAGGCGGCUUUGUAAGUCAGGAGUGAAAGUUUGCGGCUCAACCGUAAAAUUGCUUUUGAUACUGCAGAGCUAGAAUCAGGAUGAGGUUAGCGGAAUGUGGCAUGUAGCGGUGAAAUGCAUAGAUAUGCCAUAGAACACCAAUUGCGAAGGCAGCUGGCUAGACCUGCAUUGACGCUGAGGCACGAAAGCGUGGGGAGCGAACAGG
RNAcentral lists this ribosomal RNA (253 nucleotides) under uncultured bacterium. RNAcentral's name for it is "partial 16S ribosomal RNA". It matches the Rfam family "Bacterial small subunit ribosomal RNA", at positions 524 to 776 of the family's 1533-position model. The record is from RNAcentral.